RNAcentral lists this transfer RNA (65 nucleotides) under Anolis frenatus (bridled anole). RNAcentral describes it as "tRNA-Cys". Lineage: Eukaryota; Metazoa; Chordata; Lepidosauria; Squamata; Anolidae. RNAcentral also lists the same sequence under 1 other name. The record is from RNAcentral.
AGCCCCGGAGCCUUUUAGGGCUCUUCUUCAAAUUUGCAUUUUGACGUAAGAUACCGCAGGACUUU